AACGAACGCUGGCGGCAUGCCUAACACAUGCAAGUCGAACGAGACCUUCCGGUCUAGCGGCGCACGGGUGCGUAACGCCUGGGAACCUGCCCUUAGGUACGGAAUAACUCCCCGAAAGGGGUGCUAAUACCGCAUAAUCUCUUCGGACCAAAGAUUUAUCGCUUUUGGAUGGGCCCGGGUUGGAUUAGCUAGUUGGUAGGGUAAUAGCCUACCAACGCGUCGAUGCAUAGCUGGUCUGGGAGGAUGAUCAGCCACACUGGGACUGAGACACGGCCCAGACUCCUACGGGAGGCAGCAGUGGGGAAUAUUGGACAAUGGGGGAAAGCCUGAUCAAGCAAUGCCGCGUGAGAGAUGAAGGCGUUAGGGUUGUAAAGCUCUUUUACCCGGGAUGAUAAUGACGGUACCGUGAGAAUAAGCUCCGGCUAACUCCGUG
Molecule: ribosomal RNA, 433 nt
Filed under: uncultured bacterium
Lineage: Bacteria
Description: partial 16S ribosomal RNA
Rfam family: Bacterial small subunit ribosomal RNA
Source: RNAcentral